UUUAUCUAAAAGUUUUAAACUCAGGAUAUAUAGAAAUUUUAAUAAUUUUUAAUUUUUAUUAUAAAAACACUUUUCAAGGAAAGUAACCUUAUAAGAAACCGCCAAAAUCCCAACAGAAAGAGUACCGCAAGGGAACAGUGAAAUAAUAAUCAACAAAAAAACCAAAAAUAGGAAAGAUAAAAUCUUUUACCUCGUGUAUAAUGGAUAAACAAGAAAAAAGAAAAAGUUCUAAACCCGAAAUCGAGUGAGCUAACCCUCGCUUCUAUUUAGAAGAUAUCCUCUACUGUUGCAAUAGUAGAACAAAAGCGAGGGUUAGUUGUUAUAUGCUAACCGCACUCGGAGAUAGCUGGUUCCUCGGUAAACUAGUCUAAGCUAGGCCCUUUUUAUUCUGUGAAGAAAGAAGUUAAUUUUUAUAAAUCAAGACUCAACAAACCGAAAAUAAAGUGGUCAGAGUAAAAAGGACAAGCUUUUUACUCAAAAUGGAAAACCCCAACGGAUUUAGUUAAAGCCAAUAAUAUAUUAAAAUAACCCGACUAACUAUUAGUAGGCCUAAAAGCAGCCGACUAAUUAUAAAGCGUUAAAGCUAAUUUACAAAAACGGGUUAGAAAAUUUUUGAUUUUUAAGCUAAAACUAAAAAUAACUAACGAGGCCCUCUAUUAUUAGAGAUGAUAAUGUUUAUAUAAGUAAAACAACCUCCGGUUGGCCUUAUUCAAUCUUAACCAUGGAAGAAAAAUAUUCUAACUAGAAAUAAGAUUUUUCUUAAUUGUCUUCCACCACAGGAGGAGGUAUCAAAUAAAUUAAAAGAGAAGAAGGAACUCGGCAAACAAAAGCUUCGCCUGUUUACCAAAAACAUCGCUCCCUGGUAAAUCAACAUAGGGAGUCCUGCCUGCCCAGUGACAGAAAGUUAAACGGCCGCGGUAUCUUGACCGUGCGAAGGUAGCAUAAUCAUUUGUCUCCUAAAUAGAGACUGGUAUGAAUGGCAAGACGGAGCUUUACUGUCUCCUUCUCUUAAAUUAGAAUUUCACACUCCCGUGAAGAGGCGGGAAUUAGUUCGUAAGACGAGAAGACCCUGUCGAGCUGUAGUAAAAUUUUAACUGUUGAUAAUUAUCAACCCUAACUAAUACGUAACACUAGUAAGCUAGAAAGUAGCAGAUUAAAAUAAACUUUGAUUGGGGCAAUCCCGGAGAAAGAAUAUCCUCCGGUACUAUAUAGUCUAGUUCGGACUAAAUUAAAAGAGUUAUAACUCUAUAAUCUAAAAAGAAGGUGUGAUCCACUCACAGUGAUCAAAAGAACAAGUUACCGCAGGGAUAACAGCGUUAUCUUUUCUGAGAGUCCAUAUUGACGAAAAGGUUUGCGACCUCGAUGUUGGAUCGGGACAUCCUAAGGGUGCAGAAGCUUUUAAGGGUUGGUCUGUUCGACCAUUAAAGUCCUACGUGAUCUGAGUUCAGACCGGCGAGAGCCAGGUCAGUUUCUAUCUACGAACUUCUCUUUCUUAGUACGAAAGGACCAGAAAGGGCGUGUCCCUGCGUUAAGACGUAAACACCAAAAGUUAAAAAC
This 1557-nucleotide ribosomal RNA is filed under the name Nacospatangus altus. RNAcentral describes it as "Nacospatangus alta 16S ribosomal RNA". It matches the Rfam family "Bacterial large subunit ribosomal RNA", at positions 154 to 2778 of the family's 2925-position model. Lineage: Eukaryota; Metazoa; Echinodermata; Echinoidea; Spatangoida; Maretiidae. The record is from RNAcentral.